RNAcentral lists this ribosomal RNA (482 nucleotides) under uncultured bacterium. RNAcentral's name for it is "partial 16S ribosomal RNA". It matches the Rfam family "Bacterial small subunit ribosomal RNA", at positions 28 to 507 of the family's 1533-position model. The record is from RNAcentral.
GACGAACGCUGGCGGCGUGCUUAACACAUGCAAGUCGAACGAUGAAGAAGAGAAGCGCGAACUUCGGUUCAAAUUUCACUUCGGAUUAGUGGCAGACGGGUGAGUAACGCGUGAGCAACCUACCUCUUACAAAGGGAUAGCCUCGGGAAACCGUGAUUAAUACCAUAUGACACAUUCAUAAGGCAUCUUAAGAAUGUUAAAGCUACGGCGGUAAGAGAUGGGCUCGCGUCCCAUUAGCUAGUUGGUGAGGUAACGGCCCACCAAGGCGGCGAUGGGUAACCGGCCUGAGAGGGUGAACGGUCACAUUGGAACUGAGACACGGUCCAAACUCCUACGGGAGGCAGCAGUGGGGAAUAUUGCACAAUGGAGGGAACUCUGAUGCAGCGACGCCGCGUGAGCGAUGAAGGAAUUCGUUUCGUAAAGCUCUGUUCUAUGGGAAGAAAAGGACUGUACCAUAGGAGAAAGCCCCGGCUAAAUACGUG